GAUGAACGCUGGCGGCGUGCCUAAUACAUGCAAGUAGAACGCUGAAGGAAGGAGCUUGCUCUUUCCGGAUGAGUUGCGAACGGGUGAGUAACGCGUAGGUAACCUGCCUGGUAGCGGGGGAUAACUAUUGGAAACGAUAGCUAAUACCGCAUAACAGUAGAUGUUGCAUGAUAUCUACUUAAAAGGUGCAAUUGCACCACUACCAGAUGGACCUGCGUUGUAUUAGCUAGUUGGUGAGGUAACGGCUCACCAAGGCGACGAUACAUAGCCGACCUGAGAGGGUGAUCGGCCACACUGGGACUGAGACACGGCCCAGACUCCUACGGGAGGCAGCAGUAGGGAAUCUUCGGCAAUGGACGGAAGUCUGAACGAGCAACGCCGCGUGAGUGAAGAAGGUUUUCGGAUCGUAAAGCUCUGUUGUAAGAGAAGAACGAGUGUGAGAGUGGAAAGUUCACACUGUGACGGUAUCUUACCAGAAAGGGACGGCUAACUACGUG
This 497-nucleotide ribosomal RNA is filed under the name uncultured bacterium. RNAcentral's name for it is "partial 16S ribosomal RNA". It matches the Rfam family "Bacterial small subunit ribosomal RNA", at positions 28 to 507 of the family's 1533-position model. The record is from RNAcentral.